Molecule: small nuclear RNA, 96 nt
Filed under: Cavia porcellus (domestic guinea pig)
Lineage: Eukaryota; Metazoa; Chordata; Mammalia; Rodentia; Caviidae
Description: 7SK RNA
Rfam family: 7SK RNA
About the family: 7SK was discovered as an abundant small nuclear RNA in the mid-70s but a possible function has only recently been suggested. Two independent studies have found that 7SK RNA binds the CDK9/cyclin T complex (known as elongation factor P-TEFb).
Source: Rfam by way of RNAcentral
UGAGGGUGAUCUGGCUGCAACAUCUGUCACCCCAUUGAUCGCCAGGGGUCAUUCGGUGGACGUGAUUGGCUAGGCACAUGUUGCCUUCCUCCCUCA